Molecule: unclassified non-coding RNA, 346 nt
Filed under: soil metagenome
Description: partial contains 5.8S ribosomal RNA, internal transcribed spacer 2, and large subunit ribosomal RNA
Rfam family: 5.8S ribosomal RNA (bases 1-120)
Source: RNAcentral
GAUGAAGAACGUAGCGAAAUGCGAUAAGUAAUGUGAAUUGCAGAAUUCAGUGAAUCAUCGAGUCUUUGAACGCACAUUGCGCCCCCUGGUAUUCCGGGGGGCAUGCCUGUCCGAGCGUCAUUGCUGCCCUCAAGCACGGCUUGUGUGUUGGGCCUCCGUCCUCCUCCCGGGGGACGGGCCCGAAAGGCAGCGGCGGCACCGCGUCCGGUCCUCGAGCGUAUGGGGCUUCGUCACCCGCUCUUGUAGGCCCGGCCGGCGCUUGCCGACACAUCAAUCUUUUUUCCAGGUUGACCUCGGAUCAGGUAGGGAUACCCGCUGAACUUAAGCAUAUCAAUAAGCCAGAGGA